RNAcentral lists this non-coding RNA (269 nucleotides) under Acidomonas methanolica. The record is from RNAcentral. RNAcentral also lists the same sequence under 1 other name. Lineage: Bacteria; Pseudomonadati; Pseudomonadota; Alphaproteobacteria; Acetobacterales; Acetobacteraceae.
UCCUAAGAGACCGGCGACGGUGCCUUUCCGGAUGCGGAAGGGUUAAAAGGGAACGGGGUCGGACUGAAAACGUCCGGCAAGCCCCGGCUGCCCCCGCAACUGUAGGCGAUAGCGGCAUGUCUCGGUCGCGCUCCCCUGGGGUCUUUCCGCGAGGACUCCGGAUCAUUGUCUGGGGAGAGCGGGCCACUGACCGGAUCUCGGUCGGGAAGGCCGGAGGCAUGUGGCGAUCAUUCGCGAGCCAGGAAACCUGCCGUCAGCGUAGUUGCAUC